This 870-nucleotide unclassified non-coding RNA is filed under the name Hevea brasiliensis (rubber tree). The record is from RNAcentral. Lineage: Eukaryota; Viridiplantae; Streptophyta; Magnoliopsida; Malpighiales; Euphorbiaceae.
UAGCAUAUAAAACUAUAAUUCUAUUCAAAAAAGUGCCAGGCAGACAAUAAAAUAGAACAAACAGCCCAACUUCAAACGAGGAAGCCACAAAUCGCCGGUAACUGGAUAGUAAACGCCAUCGCUGCCGUGUACAAUCUUUCUUCCCUGUCUCUCUCUUGGCUGCCGUACUAUCAAUCAGGUUCUCAGACCCUGAAAAUAAAGAUCCCAUUGGCGCCCAACCAGCAGAGACUGAAAACUCAAAGCUUAUGAUAAUUACCUUAUAUUGUCUCUAUCUCUUAUAAUCGGAUUAAUCGAUUCAUUAUCAAGCAUAAAUUUGAUCAACAUUGUAUAGCAAUUCACUGAAUACUGCUCAAUUUCUUGGAUUUUGGAGUUGCUGAAACAGGAAUAUGUUGGGGGAAGUGAGGUGGUGCGUGGUCACUGGAGGCAGGGGUUUUGCCGCCCGGCUUUUGGUGGAAAUGCUCGUUCGAUGCGAUAUUUUUUUUAGUUCGGAUUGCUGAUUUGGAGCCCUCCAUUCAACUAAGCGAGGAGGAGGAGAGCUGUGCACUUGGUGAAGCCUUGAAAUCUGGUUGCGCUAAGUAUAUAUCCGCAGAUCUCCGCGACAAGGCCCAAGUUCUCGAAGCUAUUGAAGGAGCUGAGGUUGUGUUCCACAUGGCGGUUCCUAAUUCUUCGGUUAAUAAUUACCAGCUCCACUAUUAGGUCAACGUACAAGGGACAAAGAAUGUUAUUGAUGCUUGUGUUGAACUAAAAGUGAAGAGGCUUAUCUAUACUAGCUCAGCUAGCGUGGUUUUUGAUGGGAUUCAUGGAAUUUUUAACGGAGAUGAAUCCUUGCCAUAUCCAACUAAGCCCCUUGAUUCAUAUACAGCAACUAAA